UUUUUAGGAAAAGGAUUAGAGACCCUUGUACUAGGUGGAGUAUUUUGUGUCCAUGGUGUAAACUAAAAGGAUUUGGCAGCCGACGAGGUUCUUCCGGGGGAGUGUGUGGUUUAAGAGAUAGUCCGCUUAGGAUCUUGCCGCCGCUAUUAGUUAGUGUAUAUCCGGUUUAAGAUUCGUGAUUUGUGUCAUUGAGUGUCAUUUUAUUUUAAUUGAAUCCAGGUC
Molecule: ribosomal RNA, 222 nt
Filed under: Paragonimus heterotremus
Lineage: Eukaryota; Metazoa; Platyhelminthes; Trematoda; Plagiorchiida; Troglotrematidae
Description: partial small subunit ribosomal RNA
Source: RNAcentral